GACGAACGCUGGCGGCGUGCUUAAUACAUGCAAGUCGAGCGGUGAACCCCGACUGAAAGCCUUCGGGCUUGACGUUGGGGGAUCAGCGGCGGAUGGGUGAGUAACGCGUGGGUACCUGCCCUAAAGUCUGGGAUAACAACUCGAAAGGGUUGCUAAUACCGGAUGUGACCGAGAGGUUAAAGGCAGAGAUGUCGCUUUAGGAUGGGCCCGCGUCCCAUUAGCUAGUUGGUGAGGUAAGGGCUCACCAAGGCUGCGAUGGGUAGCCGGCCUGAGAGGGUGGACGGCCACACUGGGACUGAGACACGGCCCAGACUCCUACGGGAGGCAGCAGUAGGGAAUAUUAGUAAUGGGCGAAAGCCUGAACUAGCAACGCCGCGUGUGCGAAGAAGGCCUUCGGGUCGUAAGCACUUUUUGUAGAGGAUGAGGAAGGACGGUACGUCUCAGAAUAAGUACUCGGCUAACUACGUG
Molecule: ribosomal RNA, 468 nt
Filed under: uncultured bacterium
Lineage: Bacteria
Description: partial 16S ribosomal RNA
Rfam family: Bacterial small subunit ribosomal RNA
Source: RNAcentral